RNAcentral lists this small RNA (29 nucleotides) under Bombyx mori (domestic silkworm). RNAcentral describes it as "ovarian small RNA-6435". Lineage: Eukaryota; Metazoa; Arthropoda; Insecta; Lepidoptera; Bombycidae. The record is from RNAcentral.
UAGUAAAUGGCAGUCCCACCUUUGGAGGC